This 105-nucleotide small nuclear RNA is filed under the name Phocoena sinus (vaquita). Lineage: Eukaryota; Metazoa; Chordata; Mammalia; Artiodactyla; Phocoenidae. The record is from RNAcentral.
GUGCUUGCUUCAGCAGCACAUAUGCUAAAAUUGGAACGAUAGAGAAGAUUAGCAUUGCCCCUGCCCAAGGAUGACAUGGAAAUUCAUGAAGCAUUCCAUAUUUUU